Molecule: ribosomal RNA, 254 nt
Filed under: uncultured bacterium
Lineage: Bacteria
Description: partial 16S ribosomal RNA
Rfam family: Bacterial small subunit ribosomal RNA
Source: RNAcentral
UACGGAGGGGGCUAGCGUUGUUCGGAAUUACUGGGCGUAAAGCGCACGUAGGCGGCUUUGUAAGUUAGAGGUGAAAGCCCGGGGCUCAACUCCGGAAUUGCCUUUUAAGACUGCAUCGCUAGAAUUGUGGAGAGGUAAGUGGAAUUCCGAGUGUAGAGGUGAAAUUCGUAGAUAUUCGGAAGAACACCAGUGGCGAAGGCGACUUACUGGACACAUAUUGACGCUGAGGUGCGAAAGCGUGGGGAGCAAACAGG